This 274-nucleotide ribosomal RNA is filed under the name uncultured bacterium. RNAcentral's name for it is "partial 16S ribosomal RNA". It matches the Rfam family "Bacterial small subunit ribosomal RNA", at positions 523 to 796 of the family's 1533-position model. The record is from RNAcentral.
AUACGGAGGGUGCAAGCGUUGUCCGGAUUUAUUGGGUUUAAAGGGUGCGUAGGCGGCCCGUUAAGUCAGUGGUGAAAGGUAUCAGCUUAACUGAUGAAGUGCCAUUGAAACUGAAGGGCUUGAGUACAGACGAGGUAGGCGGAAUUUAUGGUGUAGCGGUGAAAUGCAUAGAUACCAUAAAGAACACCGAUAGCGAAGGCAGCUUACUAGACUGAGACUGACGCUGAGGCACGAAAGCGUGGGGAGCAAACAGGAUUAGAAACCCCAGUAGUCC